Molecule: long non-coding RNA, 4005 nt
Filed under: Marmota monax (woodchuck)
Lineage: Eukaryota; Metazoa; Chordata; Mammalia; Rodentia; Sciuridae
Source: RNAcentral
UUUGCUAUUAGGAAUUAGAGACUUACUAGACUAUGGGAAGAGCUUGGGGGUUGGAGGCAUGCAACUAAGGCCAGGAAAUCAUGAGGAGAGGAGCUGUUGCUGAAGAUCUCUACCUCCAGUAACAGCACAGGUGGUUUUCUGAAGCUUACCAGGAAGCUGCUGUAAGUCUUAAGAAUCCCUGGGAGUCUCCUGCUGUUGUAGGCUGCAGUAGUACCAGGAAACCAUUCUGAAUCUCAUUUGAUAAAGAAUCUUGCUGAAGUCAUUUCUAUAAGGUACAACUUCGCUUUCUCUUCCCUUUUUCAAGUCUUGAGCAACUUUAUGGGCAGCUCCACAGUUCAGGAAGAGGAUGGUAGGAAAAGAUCCUAAAAGGGAUGGUGGUUUUGCUCAGUUGAUAACAGGCAAUCUGUCACAAAGCUUGAUGAUAGAUGUAAAAAAAAAAGUCCAAAAGUUUAGUUAAAUAACCUAAUUGGUUUUAUUUGCCAUUUAUGAAUCAGGAAACAUCUAAAAAUAGAGAGGUUCUCCAUCAGACAUGGCAGAAUAGUUGUAGGGCAGCUUGAACAGGAAUAAGAAAGUAACAUAAUACAAAGAGUAGAUUGCUUAACAUCAGUUUACUGGUAAAGGUUAAAGUCAGAAUUUCCGUAUCAUGUUGGCUACAGAUGGCCUGUCUGGGGCUUUGGGUUUUCUCUCUCACAUUCCCCUGAUUUCUCAGAAGUUCUGAUAAACAAUUUAAUUUCACUUGGGCAAUGUGGAACUUUAGCACAAGUGAUUCCAUUUUGGUUUGGUUUGUUGGAAUUUAGUGAAGAGGCUCAGCUCAAAUAAGUGAUCUUUUAUAAAUUUUAUUUAACAUGCAUUAUGAGCUUCUAACCAGGUAGAGAAUAUAACUUACCCAUUGUUAUGUUCUCAGGGCCUAGUGCAGUUCCUGGAAAAGAUACUCAAUAAAUAUUAGGAAAUGACUGAGUAAGUCAAUGAGGAGAGGGCAAUAACUCCUGGAAACCCCAUGAUUUGGGUUGUGUUGUAAAUAAUGCCAUGAUAGAUCAAUGUCAUUCUCCAGAAGAGCCUUAUAUUUGUGAUUUAUGGUAGAGAUAAUGGUAAUUCAGGAUGAUAUCUUUGCCGGGCUGAUCAGAACUGUCACAUUUCUGAAAUUUAAAAUACUCAGUAGGAAGGAAGCUUUGAAAGUCAGGCACUGAAGCUGGUGAGACACCUUGGGCUAGAGUGUUAAACUAUAACACCUCUUUUCAACUUCAAGAGCUCAAGAAUUAUUUGCAUAUUGAGAUGCCACUAGGUGGUGCUCUUGCUUGUUUGUGUAGCUGGCCAUUGACUUCCAGACAAGGAGAUUGAUAAGGCAGUCACAAAUGUUACAAUUCUUUUAAAACAACUGAGCUGUCCCUCAAAUAAGAACUAUAACAUUGACUUACUUGAUAUUAGAUACACACAAUAUUUCAAGUAAGAAUUAAAGCAAACCUGAAGAUUAAAGAGCAAAUUAGAGCAUAACAUAAUGCUUUCACAAUCCGAGAGUUACAGUACAACUGGCACUAGAAUCUUGUUCUCUAAGUGUCCCCAGGGGCUCUUAUCCCCAAUUACCCUGUCCCCGCUUCCCAUGUGUGUGGGAUGAUUCAAAAGCUCACUGUCUUACUUUUGAAGUCUAUGGCGGAUUCACCCCACCCCCAGCCAGUGAGUAGGUUCUUAAAUUAGCUCAAAUUAUGGUUAAGAGUUGAACAUGAGAAAUAGAGGCAAAAUUGCUACAGCAUGACUAAAAUCCUUCUCUUUAAGGUCCAUAAAUUUCUUUUAAACCAAAGUAAAGCUCACUGGUGUCCCUAGUCCAGUUUUUGUAUUAGGCAUUAUUUUUUUUCCUUAUUUAUAUGGAAGGAUUCUUUAUAUAUUUAGGUUAUUAACUUUUACAAUAUGUUUCUAGUUUGUUGUCUUCUAUUUUUAUUGUAUUUUGGGGGGAGGUUAUGUAGAAUUUCACCUUUUAUUUACUCAAACCCUGUUUUCCUUUAAGGUUUCUGAUUUUAGCUCCUUUAUUUGGUAUCACUUAGCUAGAAGUAGAGGCAAGGAUGAGCAGUUUUAUGGCUCAUUACAAAUUAUCCUCUAGAAUUAGUUUUCUUUUCUAUCUUUAGUUUAGGAUUCUCCUAAAAAAUUCUUGAUCCUUACAAUAAUGAAAUUACUUAUUUCAUCCUUUUGUUCUUAGGGGGAAACUUUCCAAUGGGAGGGAGGGCAGCACUAUUUCCCUAGGGGCAAUUUUGAAGUCUAUGGAGGCAUACUUGACCGUCAUAAUUGAGAGAACCUACUGGCACUUAGUAGGUGGGGUGCAGGAAUAAUAAACAUCUUGUAAUAUACAGAAUGAGGAAUUGUUCCUCCUGAAUGCCAGUAUCAUCUCUGAUUGAGAAACACUGAGCUAGACUAUCAUCCACAGACAUCUUUAAAAAAAUACCAGCCUCGCAACAUUCUACCAAGAAUAUUUCCAUUUAAACCUUGAUGGUAGUGUAUGUUUUCCAGCAGUGUAUGUAUUAUAUAUGCAGACAUAAUGGAAUGGAACAUAUAAACCUUUGCUUUAACAGCAGAUUACAUAGGCUAGAGUUGAGUCUGGGCACUGGACAGAUACUCAGCUUAUGACUGGUUAUCAAUUUCACUUAUCAAGUACAUUAAAUUACUGAUUUCCAUGGAAAGUGUUACAGAGGGUGUUAAAAAUAAAUUAAUUGAAUCUGUCAACUAAGAACAGUUACAGUCUUAGUGAUUCUCCAAAAAUAUAAAACAAAAAUAUGUGCUGUUGGGGAUACAUCCAUUUCCCACCUUUAUCAGGCUUCCCAUUUCAUAUUUUCUAGUAAAGACUGCAAUCUCAGAGUUGUCAGUGCAGCUGCUUUUGCUCAAUAUUAUUUUUUUGAUUGCUGUGGGUGCUGUUUGUUCCAAUGCAAAUGUGUGGAGGGCAGGAAAUUACCAAGUCUGUUUUUAUCUGUGAGUACAUUGUUCCUGGAAAUAUAAUUAUUUUGUCCACUUGAAAUUGCCUUUGAUAGAAUGACAAAUUGGUAUAAACCAGAGGUGUUUUCUUGCCUGCAGAUGGCAGUGAUUAUUAACUUGUCAUUCUAAAUACAAGGUGUUGGUUUUACCCAGUUCUAAGGUGUUAUACUAAUGGCAGUGCUUAUUGUGUUCUAAUAGAAAUUAAUAAGAUUCAGACACCAUCUUUGGAGGGGAUACUGAAUUUAUAUUCUUAACAUGAUGCCAUUUACAAUAUUAAGUAACCAGACAUGGAACUCAAAAUUUAUUAAAUUAAUAUACUUCACCUGAUUAGUGAAAAAAGAGCUUAAAAACAACAUUUGAUUAUUGUGGCUAAACCCAAGUAAUGCAUCUUGGAAAAUAAGAUUCCAAAAUAUACUUCAGCUAUUAUAAACUUUGUGCUUUUAAGUUUUAGCUCCUGAACAACAUGUAGCUGUAAUGUUGAUUGUUCUUUGAAGACAACAGCAAAAUACAUUCUGGAAUGCAGACAACAAACAAUGCCAUCCAAAUGGAUGAAGUUGUCUAUCUGAAGUAGUACAAAUCAAAUCACAAACACCAUCUUCCUCUUAUAUAAGCUCUUGGAUAAUGUGUGCAGUUCUAAUAUCAUGAGGGUGAUAUGGUGGAACUGUGAAAUCUGGGAAGGAUCCUCUAAAAUGGCCAAGGGAAAUGAAUAAGAAUUAUGUGAGGGUGAACUUGGAAGAUGAGCCUUCCUCAGAACAAUAAAUGGAGAGUGGUAAGAAUCCCCCUCCCCUUCCUCCUUGGCCAUUGGGCAUUAUUUUACCUUGGGCAUAGAAAGAGGUGGGUUUUUUGUUGUUGUUGUUGUUUAUAAUUUGGAAAGCAGUAUGGAGAUUUCUUGGAAAGCUGGAAAUGGAACUACCAUUUGACCCAGCUAUUCCCCUUCUCGGUCUAUUCCCUAAAGACCUAAAAAGAGCAUGCUACAGGGACACUGCUACAUCGAUGUUCAUAGCAGCACAAUUCACAAUAGCAAGACUGUGGAACCAACCUAGAUGCCCU